Molecule: long non-coding RNA, 905 nt
Organism: Sus scrofa (pig)
Lineage: Eukaryota; Metazoa; Chordata; Mammalia; Artiodactyla; Suidae
Source: RefSeq, a predicted model, not a curated record
CCAGGAGACUUUAAGGUCAGGAGGGAGGGGCUCUGCCUGUUCUCCUUACAUGGAAUUCCCACCAGCCCCUAACAGGGGAGUAAGCAUUCCUGGAACUGUUUACAGCAAUUACAGUGACCUCCGACAACCGCGUGUGCAUUGGCAUGCAAACGUCUCCAAGAGCCAUUGAGCCAAAACACUGCCAGAGGCUCCGUGUGACACCAGCCAAGCCCUGUUACUUGGGGGUCGUGAGUGUGACAUGCACCCACGGGAGAGGCAAGCACCCACCUGAGGACCAAGGGUGGGGCUGGGGGGCUGCCGCAGGCCCUGGCGUUUUCCUCGAUGCUUCCUCAUCCUGGGUGGGCAGCCUCAGAGCCCCCUUUGCAUGCCUUCUGCUGCGAGAGCUGUUGAAUUCAGAGAGAUGUCCCUUCGGAGAACCGCGGGUGUGAAGUCGCCCUGCCACCUGCGGAGUCAGCAACACAUUCCCUUCUGGGGGGCAUGUGCCAGAGGUCCUGGGUGGUUGAGGCUCCAGCCCCGAGUGAGAGGCGACUGCAUUUAAACAGAUCUGAAAGCAGCUGUGAUGGUGGCAGGACCUCGAGGAUAAAGAAGAAACAGGAGUUUGAUUGUAGAAUCCAGUGAAAACGACUGAAGUGCACUCUUGACCCCUGUAGGAAGACUGGUGGCUUUGGGGGCGAGUCAGGAAACACGACCCUGCAGAGGCCAUUGAUGCCGCGGCCGCUAUUCAGUCGUCGUGAAAAUGAAUCCUCGAAAAUAGAAGCUGCAGUCUAGCUACUUGUUACGGUCACAGACCUUUUGAAGCUUUCCUCAAAACUGUGCCGACAUAAUUACCUAUUUAAUACACUAUUUGUUAUUAAUUAAAAAGAAUUUAGUGGCCUAAUUAAAGCUCGGCUGCCUUUCUUUUCUGA